AAAAUAUAUAAAUUUAAUCAUAUAAUUAAGAACCCAAAUUCAAGUUAAAUUUUAAUUUAGUUUCUUUCGAAAUUAAUUUAUUCGGUUAUACUUUUUUAUUCCAAAUUAUUAUCAAAAUGAACUAAGAUUUAGAAUUGGUAGUGUUAUAAUUAACAUAAAGAAAACAAUAUAAAUCUUGAAGGGUAAUAUUGGCAAUGCAAAUGUCUCCCCUCAAGGGAAAUAACAGGUCAAAGUUCCAGCCAAUAAAGUUCCAUUUUUCUUUUCUGUUCACAUUUGACAGUGAUUGUUGAUUGGGAGCCAUUAAACAUGCAAGAAAGACAUCAAAAUAAAAUUCAAAGGAAU
Molecule: unclassified non-coding RNA, 342 nt
Filed under: Hevea brasiliensis (rubber tree)
Lineage: Eukaryota; Viridiplantae; Streptophyta; Magnoliopsida; Malpighiales; Euphorbiaceae
Source: RNAcentral